UACGUAGGGGGCGAGCGUUAUCCGGAAUUACUGGGCGUAAAGCGCACGCAGGCGGUUCGCCAAGUUUGGAGUGACAGUUGUCGGCUCAACCGACAAAGGACUUCAAAAACUGGUGAACUUGAGGACGAGAGAGGAACAUGGAACUCCAGGUGUAGUAGUGAAAUGCGUAGAUAUCUGGAAGAACACCAAUGGCGAAGGCAAUGUUCUGGCUCGUUUCUGACGCUCAGG
Molecule: ribosomal RNA, 228 nt
Filed under: uncultured bacterium
Lineage: Bacteria
Description: partial 16S ribosomal RNA
Rfam family: Bacterial small subunit ribosomal RNA
Source: RNAcentral